Molecule: ribosomal RNA, 101 nt
Filed under: Meriones unguiculatus (Mongolian gerbil)
Lineage: Eukaryota; Metazoa; Chordata; Mammalia; Rodentia; Muridae
Source: RNAcentral
CUCCAUGGCCAUCUGACCUUGAAUGCCUCUGAUCUCCUCUGAUUUUGGAAACCAAGCAGGCUUGAUCUUGUUAGUACUUGGAUUGGAAGAAAAGGGUGAGU